Molecule: ribosomal RNA, 253 nt
Filed under: uncultured bacterium
Lineage: Bacteria
Description: partial 16S ribosomal RNA
Rfam family: Bacterial small subunit ribosomal RNA
Source: RNAcentral
UACGAAGGGGGCUAGCGUUGCUCGGAAUUACUGGGCGUAAAGGGCGCGUAGGCGGCGCUGCAAGUCAGGCGUGAAAUUCCUGGGCUUAACCUAGGGGCUGCGCUUGAGACUGUGGUGCUAGAGGACGGAAGAGGGUCGUGGAAUUCCCAGUGUAGAGGUGAAAUUCGUAGAUAUUGGGAAGAACACCGGUGGCGAAGGCGGCUACCUGGACCGGUUCUGACGCUGAUGCGCGAAAGCGUGGGUAGCAAACAGG